RNAcentral lists this ribosomal RNA (1363 nucleotides) under Salmonella enterica. RNAcentral describes it as "partial 23S ribosomal RNA". It matches the Rfam family "Bacterial large subunit ribosomal RNA", at positions 1577 to 2916 of the family's 2925-position model. Lineage: Bacteria; Pseudomonadati; Pseudomonadota; Gammaproteobacteria; Enterobacterales; Enterobacteriaceae. The record is from RNAcentral.
CCACGGUGCUGAAGCAACAAAUGCCCUGCUUCCAGGAAAAGCCUCUAAGCAUCAGGUAACAUCAAAUCGUACCCCAAACCGACACAGGUGGUCAGGUAGAGAAUACCAAGGCGCUUGAGAGAACUCGGGUGAAGGAACUAGGCAAAAUGGUGCCGUAACUUCGGGAGAAGGCACGCUGACACGUAGGUGAAGUGAUUUACUCACGGAGCUGAAGUCAGUCGAAGAUACCAGCUGGCUGCAACUGUUUAUUAAAAACACAGCACUGUGCAAACACGAAAGUGGACGUAUACGGUGUGACGCCUGCCCGGUGCCGGAAGGUUAAUUGAUGGGGUCAGCGCAAGCGAAGCUCCUGAUCGAAGCCCCGGUAAACGGCGGCCGUAACUAUAACGGUCCUAAGGUAGCGAAAUUCCUUGUCGGGUAAGUUCCGACCUGCACGAAUGGCGUAAUGAUGGCCAGGCUGUCUCCACCCGAGACUCAGUGAAAUUGAACUCGCUGUGAAGAUGCAGUGUACCCGCGGCAAGACGGAAAGACCCCGUGAACCUUUACUAUAGCUUGACACUGAACAUUGAGCCUUGAUGUGUAGGAUAGGUGGGAGGCUUUGAAGCGUGGACGCCAGUCUGCGUGGAGCCGACCUUGAAAUACCACCCUUUAAUGUUUGAUGUUCUAACGUGGACCCGUAAUCCGGGUUGCGGACAGUGUCUGGUGGGUAGUUUGACUGGGGCGGUCUCCUCCUAAAGAGUAACGGAGGAGCACGAAGGUUGGCUAAUCCUGGUCGGACAUCAGGAGGUUAGUGCAAUGGCAUAAGCCAGCUUGACUGCGAGCGUGACGGCGCGAGCAGGUGCGAAAGCAGGUCAUAGUGAUCCGGUGGUUCUGAAUGGAAGGGCCAUCGCUCAACGGAUAAAAGGUACUCCGGGGAUAACAGGCUGAUACCGCCCAAGAGUUCAUAUCGACGGCGGUGUUUGGCACCUCGAUGUCGGCUCAUCACAUCCUGGGGCUGAAGUAGGUCCCAAGGGUAUGGCUGUUCGCCAUUUAAAGUGGUACGCGAGCUGGGUUUAGAACGUCGUGAGACAGUUCGGUCCCUAUCUGCCGUGGGCGCUGGAAGACUGAGGGGGGCUGCUCCUAGUACGAGAGGACCGGAGUGGACGCAUCACUGGUGUUCGGGUUGUCAUGCCAAUGGCACUGCCCGGUAGCUAAAUGCGGAAAAGAUAAGUGCUGAAAGCAUCUAAGCACGAAACUUGCCCCGAGAUGAGUCUUCCCUGAGACUUUGAGUCUCCUGAAGGAACGUUAAAGACGAUGACGUUGAUAGGCCGGGUGUGUAAGCGCAGCGAUGCGUUGAGCUAACCGGUACUAAUGAACCGUGAGG